This 1075-nucleotide ribosomal RNA is filed under the name Vibrio aestuarianus. RNAcentral describes it as "bacterial SSU rRNA". It matches the Rfam family "Bacterial small subunit ribosomal RNA", at positions 461 to 1533 of the family's 1533-position model. The record is from RNAcentral. Lineage: Bacteria; Pseudomonadati; Pseudomonadota; Gammaproteobacteria; Vibrionales; Vibrionaceae.
AGCAUCAUUUGACGUUAGCGACAGAAGAAGCACCGGCUAACUCCGUGCCAGCAGCCGCGGUAAUACGGAGGGUGCGAGCGUUAAUCGGAAUUACUGGGCGUAAAGCGCAUGCAGGUGGUUCGUUAAGUCAGAUGUGAAAGCCCGGGGCUCAACCUCGGAACUGCAUUUGAAACUGGCGGACUAGAGUACUGUAGAGGGGGGUAGAAUUUCAGGUGUAGCGGUGAAAUGCGUAGAGAUCUGAAGGAAUACCGGUGGCGAAGGCGGCCCCCUGGACAGAUACUGACACUCAGAUGCGAAAGCGUGGGGAGCAAACAGGAUUAGAUACCCUGGUAGUCCACGCCGUAAACGAUGUCUACUUGGAGGUUGUGGCCUUGAGCCGUGGCUUUCGGAGCUAACGCGUUAAGUAGACCGCCUGGGGAGUACGGUCGCAAGAUUAAAACUCAAAUGAAUUGACGGGGGCCCGCACAAGCGGUGGAGCAUGUGGUUUAAUUCGAUGCAACGCGAAGAACCUUACCUACUCUUGACAUCCAGAGAAUCCAGCGGAGACGCAGGAGUGCCUUCGGGAGCUCUGAGACAGGUGCUGCAUGGCUGUCGUCAGCUCGUGUUGUGAAAUGUUGGGUUAAGUCCCGCAACGAGCGCAACCCUUAUCCUUGUUUGCCAGCGAGUAAUGUCGGGAACUCCAGGGAGACUGCCGGUGAUAAACCGGAGGAAGGUGGGGACGACGUCAAGUCAUCAUGGCCCUUACGAGUAGGGCUACACACGUGCUACAAUGGCGCAUACAGAGGGCAGCCAACUUGCGAAAGUGAGCGAAUCCCAAAAAGUGCGUCGUAGUCCGGAUUGGAGUCUGCAACUCGACUCCAUGAAGUCGGAAUCGCUAGUAAUCGUGGAUCAGAAUGCCACGGUGAAUACGUUCCCGGGCCUUGUACACACCGCCCGUCACACCAUGGGAGUGGGCUGCAAAAGAAGUGGGUAGUUUAACCUUUCGGGGAGGACGCUCACCACUUUGUGGUUCAUGACUGGGGUGAAGUCGUAACAAGGUAGCGCUAGGGGAACCUGGCGCUGGAUCACCUCCUUA